GUGCAAGCGUUACUCGGAAUUACUGGGCGUAAAGCGUGCGUAGGUGGUUUGUUAAGUCUGUUGUGAAAGCCCCGGGCUCAACCUGGGAAUGGCAAUGGAUACUGGCAAGCUAGAGUGCGGUAGAGGGUAGUGGAAUUCCCGGUGUAGCGGUGAAAUGCGUAGAGAUCGGGAGGAACACCAGUGGCGAAGGCGGCUACCUGGACCAGCACUGACACUGAGGCACGAAAGCGUGGGGAGCAAACAGG
RNAcentral lists this ribosomal RNA (245 nucleotides) under uncultured bacterium. RNAcentral describes it as "partial 16S ribosomal RNA". It matches the Rfam family "Bacterial small subunit ribosomal RNA", at positions 532 to 776 of the family's 1533-position model. The record is from RNAcentral.